GGCGGGUGGGGAGGGAGGUCGGGCGGCUGGCUGGGUCUGCGCGGCAUCGGGAUCGGAGCCCGGGUUCCCGCCCGCCCCAGCGCCCGCCGCCGGCCGAGCCCCGCCCUCCGCGUCUCCAUCGUGGGUCGCGAUGGUCGGGUGUGCGCCCGGGUCCGCGGGACAGGCGGGCGCAGAGCUCCUUUGUGUUGGCGCGGGUGGUUGCGGCAAGGUUCCGGCGCCUUCGCGGAGCAUCGUGGGUCUGGGGCUGUGGGCGCCGCGGAUUGCUAUCCUCUCCGCACUUUCCCGGCGCUGAAGCCUCGAGAACACGGCUAGGCAGCAGUAGUUUAAUGGGGAGUUUGCCUGCUGGGAACUACGGGCCUGCUGGGGUCUCAGUUCUAUGGCUGGCCGCGGAACACGAGGUUGCCAGGUGUGUGACGGCAGCAGGUAGGAGUGACCCGCUGGUGCAGUGAUGAGCAAGAAAGUACAGGAAGGACAGCGGCUGUUGGCCUGUGAAGCUAGGCAAGAAUGACCAGCCGACACAGUCCAGACCAAGGUCCGUGGGCCCAGCUUGGUCCUGUGCGUCUGGUCAGUGGAAUAGACCUGCAGGUGUGGCUCUUGUCACUCUAGGACUGGCUUCAGGACAGUGUGAAUCAGUUCUGAGGCAGCAGGCGUGAUCCAGAAGUGUGAGCAGAGACCGUCUGGAAUCCCCAGACUCCAGGGAAACUAAAGGUGACAGCCAGCCUAAUGAAGAGGACAGGAGUUGGGGGCCGGUGGCGGUGGGGCAGGAAGGCGCCCAACAGCAGCGUGGCCCAUCUGCGGUGGCAGCAGCCCAGCAGGCGCCCCUCGUCUCAGGGCCCUAAUCCUGGCUCCAGCCGGCUGGUCAGGGGAGCUGCAAGGUCUUCUGGGUGAGCAGAGCCCACAGUCCUGAGCUGUUCUUCUCUGUGUUUGGUCAUCUCCCCCCAUCCAAGGGGAGAAAUCUAGAUGAGGUUUAAGAAUCAGUGCUUUAAGACUGUGGAUCUCGGGGUUGAAACCUCGGAAGACAUGUUUUCAGCACAGGGUGUUAAAGUGAACGGAAGGAUUCAACCCCUUUUCAAGGAGGGUGUCUCCAUGUGGGCAGAACUAGAGAAUAAAUGGGUCUUGAAUAAAC
Molecule: long non-coding RNA, 1126 nt
Organism: Balaenoptera ricei (Rice's whale)
Lineage: Eukaryota; Metazoa; Chordata; Mammalia; Artiodactyla; Balaenopteridae
Exons: 6
Source: RefSeq, a predicted model, not a curated record